RNAcentral lists this ribosomal RNA (490 nucleotides) under uncultured bacterium. RNAcentral's name for it is "partial 16S ribosomal RNA". It matches the Rfam family "Bacterial small subunit ribosomal RNA", at positions 30 to 507 of the family's 1533-position model. The record is from RNAcentral.
AUUGAACGCUGGCGGCAGGCCUAACACAUGCAAGUCGAACGGUAACAGGAAACAGCUUGCUGUUUCGCUGACGAGUGGCGGACGGGUGAGUCAUGUCUGGGAAACUGCCUGAUGGAGGGGGAUAACUACUGGAAACGGUAGCUAAUACCGCAUAACGUCGCAAGCACAAAGAGGGGGACCUUCGGGCGUCUUGCCAUCGGAUGUUCCCAGAUGGGAUUAGCUAGUAGGUGGGGUAACGGCUCACCUAGGCGACGAUCCCUAGCUGGUCUGAGAGGAUGACCGGCCACACGGGAACUGGGACACGGUCCAGACGCCUACGGGAGGCAGCAGUGGGGAAUAUUGCACAAUGGGCGCAAGCCUGAUGCAGCCAUGCCGCGUGUAUGAAGAAGGCCUUCGGGUUGUAAAGUACUUUCAUCGGGGAGGAAGGGAGUAAAGUUAAUACCUUUACUCAUUGACGUUACCCGCAGAAGAAGCACCGGCUAACUCCGUG